GCCGGGUGUGGUGGUGCAAGCCUGUAAUCCCAGCAGAUUGGGAGGCUGAGGCAGGAGGAUCACAAGUUUAAGGUCAGCUUUAACAAAAGUGAGGCCCUAAGCAACUCAGUGAGACCCUGUCUCCG
Molecule: small RNA, 125 nt
Filed under: Marmota monax (woodchuck)
Lineage: Eukaryota; Metazoa; Chordata; Mammalia; Rodentia; Sciuridae
Source: RNAcentral